Molecule: ribosomal RNA, 492 nt
Filed under: uncultured bacterium
Lineage: Bacteria
Description: partial 16S ribosomal RNA
Rfam family: Bacterial small subunit ribosomal RNA
Source: RNAcentral
AGUGAACGCUGGCGGUAGGCCUAACACAUGCAAGUCGAACGGCAGCACAGUAAGAGCUUGCUCUUACGGGUGGCGAGUGGCGGACGGGUGAGGAAUACAUCGGAAUCUACUUUUUCGUGGGGGAUAACGUAGGGAAACUUACGCUAAUACCGCAUACGACCUACGGGUGAAAGCAGGGGAUCUUCGGACCUUGCGCGAUUGGAUGAGCCGAUGUCGGAUUAGCUAGUUGGCGGGGUAAAGGCCCACCAAGGCGACGAUCCGUAGCUGGUCUGAGAGGAUGAUCAGCCACACUGGAACUGAGACACGGUCCAGACUCCUGCGGGAGGCAGCAGUGGGGAAUAUUGGACAAUGGGCGCAAGCCUGAUCCAGCCAUACCGCGUGGGUGAAGAAGGCCUUCGGGUUGUAAAGCCCUUUUGUUGGGAAAGAAAAGCAGCAGGUUAAUACCCCGCUGUUCUGACGGUACCCAAAGAAUAAGCACCGGCUAACUUCGUG